This 442-nucleotide ribosomal RNA is filed under the name uncultured bacterium. Its description in RNAcentral is "partial 16S ribosomal RNA". It matches the Rfam family "Bacterial small subunit ribosomal RNA", at positions 338 to 795 of the family's 1533-position model. The record is from RNAcentral.
CCUACGGGUGGCAGCAGUAGGGAAUCUUUCACAAUGGGCGAAAGCCUGAUGGAGCAACGCCGCGUGCAGGAUGAAGGCCUUCGGGUUGUAAACUGCUUUUAUAAGCGAGAAAUAUGAUGGUAACUUAUGAAUAAGGAUCGGCUAACUACGUGCCAGCAGCCGCGGUCAUACGUAGGAUCCGAGCAUUAUCCGGAGUGACUGGGUGUAAAGAGUUGCGUAGGUGGCCUAAUAAGUAGCUAGUGAAAUCUGGUGGCUCAACCAUUCAGACUAUUAGCUAAACUGUUAAGCUCGAGACCGUUAGGGGUAAGUGGAAUUUGUGGUGUAGGGAUGAAAUCCAUAGAUAUUAGGAAGAACACCAAUAGCGUAGGCAGGUUACCGGGACGGUUCUGACACUAAGGCACGAAAGCGUAGGGAGCGAACGGGAUUAGAUACCCGUGUAGUC